RNAcentral lists this unclassified non-coding RNA (865 nucleotides) under Hevea brasiliensis (rubber tree). Lineage: Eukaryota; Viridiplantae; Streptophyta; Magnoliopsida; Malpighiales; Euphorbiaceae. The record is from RNAcentral.
CUUUAUUCAAUCGUAUGUUGCUAAUUGCAUUCGCGGAAAGCAGAGGACAAUGCAUAAAAGUUUGUUCACUCUUUAAGCGAGGACGACGUCGAUGUUCGAUGGCUGAGCUGAUGGCACGCCAAUAAUUACCUUAAAAAAUCCGAACCGAGAAGAAGAAUAGCUUUUCAAAGUCACAUCAGCAACCCGAGGCUGAAAUCCAGUUCUUUCAUUGCUUUAUCUGACCCUCUCUACCUUCUGAAGAAACAAAUCCACUUCCAGUAGCACUCACCACGGAAUUUGGGAGGUGGUGCAAAUACCCUGCCUGCGUCAAGCUCCACAAGAGUACUGCAGUUACCAAAGACUCAGGAAAAGGGAAGGAAACACUGAGUCCAGACCAGGAGACAGUCAUCAGAGGUAAGAAGAGCAUAGAGCAGUGAUUAAGUUGCUUUGAGGACACUUUCAGAUAAGCUCCAGGAAAGCUGCAGUGGCUGUGGAGUGUUGGUGUGUGCUUGUGGAUCUGUGGUGGGUGGCGUGAAUUAUAGGAGGUUUGAAGAUGAGUUCACGUAGCAGAAGCAAUAGCAGGAGCCGAAGUAUGAGUCAGAGCCAGAGCAGGAGCCAGAGCAGGAGCCGGAGCAGGAGCCCCCGAGAUCGCAGAAUUCGAUCUCGACGCUAUUCUUAUCGUGAUGCUCCUCACAGGAGAGAGACACGUCGUGGUUUCAGCCAAAACAAUUUGUGCAAUAACUGCAAGCGUCCUGGUCAUUUUGCAAGAGAAUGCCCCAAUGUAGCUGUGUGUAACAAUUGUGGCCUUCCUGGGCAUAUUGCUUCAGAAUGCACCACAAAAUCACUCUGUUGGAACUGUCGGGAACCUGGGCACAUGGCCAGCCAU